This 79-nucleotide transfer RNA is filed under the name Hymenobacter aerilatus. RNAcentral's name for it is "Hymenobacter sp. 5413J-13 tRNA-Leu". It matches the Rfam family "tRNA". Rfam says of the family: Transfer RNA (tRNA) molecules are approximately 80 nucleotides in length. Their secondary structure includes four short double-helical elements and three loops (D, anti-codon, and T loops). Lineage: Bacteria; Pseudomonadati; Bacteroidota; Cytophagia; Cytophagales; Hymenobacteraceae. The record is from RNAcentral.
GCGCUAGUGGCGUAAUGGUAGCCGCGCCGGUCUUAGAAACCGGUCUUUACGGGUGGGGGUUCGAGUCCCUCCUAGCGCA